RNAcentral lists this ribosomal RNA (425 nucleotides) under Alectorobius peruvianus. RNAcentral describes it as "Ornithodoros peruvianus partial large subunit ribosomal RNA". The stretch from base 133 to 425 matches the Rfam family "Bacterial large subunit ribosomal RNA", at positions 2078 to 2597 of the family's 2925-position model. Lineage: Eukaryota; Metazoa; Arthropoda; Arachnida; Ixodida; Argasidae. The record is from RNAcentral.
UAUUUUGACUAUACGAAGGUAUUGAAAUAAGAUUUUAAUUGGGUGCUAAGAGAAUGGUUUAACGGAGAUUGACUUUCUUUUUAUUUAAAUUGGAAGUUGAUUUGAAAAUGAAAAAGUUUUUAUGAGUUUUUGGGACAAGAAGACCCUGUGAAUUUUUUCUUAAGAAAUUUUUUAUAGAUUAGUUAUAAGAAAUCGAAAGGAGAUUUUAAGUUGGUUGGGGUGAUUUUUAAAGAAUAUUUAUCUUUAAUUUUUGGUGGAAUUUGACCCAAAAGUUUUGACUUAAUGGAAAAAAUACUCCAGGGUUAACAGCGUUAUUAUUUUGGAUAGUUCAUAUAGAUAAAAUAGUUUGCGACCUCGAUGUUGGAUUAGGAUACUUUCGUGGCGCAGAAGUUACGUGAAGGAGUUUGCUCAACUCUUUAAAUCUU